RNAcentral lists this RNase P RNA (350 nucleotides) under Bacillota bacterium. RNAcentral's name for it is "Firmicutes bacterium (anaerobic digester metagenome) RNase P RNA component class A". It matches the Rfam family "Bacterial RNase P class A". From Rfam's summary of the family: Ribonuclease P (RNase P) is a ubiquitous endoribonuclease, found in archaea, bacteria and eukarya as well as chloroplasts and mitochondria. The record is from RNAcentral. Lineage: Bacteria; Bacillati; Bacillota.
UAAGUGAAUCGGGCAAUCGCGGAUCGCAUAGCGAUUCGAGGAAAGUCCGAGCUCCACAGAGCAGGGUGCUGGAUAACGUCCAGUCAGGGUGACCUGAAGGAAAGUGCCACAGAAAUAUACCGCCAGUAUUACUGGUAAGGGUGGAAUGGUGAGGUAAGAGCUCACCAGCAACCAGGUGACUGGUUGGCUAGGUAAACCCCACUCGGAGCAAGACCUAAUAGGGAAGAAUUAAGGGCUGCUCGUCCGCUCUUCCGGGUUGGUCGCUAGAGGUGUUGGGUAACCAACAUCCCAGAUAGAUGAUUGCCGCCUCGCAAGAGGUACUGAACUCGGCUUAUAGAUUCACUUAUGAA